RNAcentral lists this ribosomal RNA (1358 nucleotides) under Cethosia biblis. RNAcentral's name for it is "16S ribosomal RNA". Lineage: Eukaryota; Metazoa; Arthropoda; Insecta; Lepidoptera; Nymphalidae. The record is from RNAcentral.
UAAUUAAUUUGAGGGGGGAUAAUUAAUAAUUUAUAUUAUAAUAAAAAAAAUUUUAAUAUGGGGGUAUUAAAGUAUAUUUUAGAAAAAAUAUAAAUUUUUAUAGGGAAGUAGUAUUGUAAAAUAAAUUUGAAAUAAAUGAAAAUUAAUUAAUUGGAAAGUAAAUUUAAUUUAUUGUAUCUUGUGUAUCAGAGUUUAUUAAAAAAUAUUUUUUAGUAAAAAAAAUCUCGAAUUUGAAAGAGUUAAUUAAUUAAAGAAGUUAACGUUGUAUAGUUAUUUAAAAUAAUUAAUUAGAAAUGAAAUGUUAAUCGUUUUCAAAUAUAUCUAGUUUUUUUAGAAAAAAAUUUAAUUUUAAAUUUAAAAAAUUUAUAAUUAAAUUAAAAAAAUUAUAAAUUUUAAAAUUAAAUAUAUUAAGGGAUAAGCUUUAAUUUAAAUAAUUAUAAUGUACAAAAAAAAAAUUAAAAAUUUUAAAAUUUAUAUUGUUUAAAAAAUUUAAUUUAUUAUAAAAAAUUUUAGUAAAAAAAAAAUUUUAUAAAAAAAAUUUAAAUUUUUAUAAAAAAAUAAUUUUUAAUAAAAUAAAAUUAGAAAUAAGGAUAAAAUUAGUAUAAAAAAAAAUAAAAUAGUAAAUAAGUAAAAAAUUAAUUUAAAGGAAUUCGGCAAAAAUUUAUAUUCACUUGUUUAUCAAAAACAUGUCUUUUUGUUAAUAAUUUAAAGUUUAAUCUGCCCCCUGAUAUUAAAAUUAAAGGGCUGCAGUAUAUUGACUGUACAAAGGUAGCAUAAUCAAUAGUCUUUUAAAUGGAGACUUGUAUGAAAGAUUUGAUGAAAUAUAAACUGUCUUUAAUUUAGAAAUAGAAAUUAAUUUUUUAAUUAAAAAGUUAAAAUAUAUUUAAAAGACGAGAAGACCCUAUAGAGUUUUAUAAUUUUAUAAUAAUAAUUAAUUAUAUAAAUUUAAAUUUUAAUAAUUAAAAUUAUUUUAUUGGGGGGAUAGAAAAAUUAAAAUAACUUUUUUUAAAAAUAAAACAUAAAUAAGUGAUUAUAUGAUCCAUAAUUGAUGAUUAAAAGAAAAAAUUACCUUAGGGAUAACAGCGUAAUUUUUUUUUUUAGUACAAAUAAAAAAAAAAGGUUGCGACCUCGAUGUUGGAUUAAGAUAAAAUUUAAAUGCAAAAGUUUAAAAUUUUGAUCUGUUCGAUCAUUAAAAUCUUACAUGAUCUGAGUUCAAACCGGUGUAAGCCAGGUUGGUUUCUAUCUUUAGAAAAAUAAAAUAUUUCAGUACGAAAGGAUCAAAUAUUUUAAAUAAUUUAAUUUAAUUUUUAGAAUAUUAAUAAAAUAAUUUUAAACUAUUUUGGCAAAAAAAAUGUAGU